This 308-nucleotide ribosomal RNA is filed under the name uncultured Helotiales. Its description in RNAcentral is "partial large subunit ribosomal RNA". It matches the Rfam family "Eukaryotic large subunit ribosomal RNA", at positions 40 to 350 of the family's 3401-position model. The record is from RNAcentral. Lineage: Eukaryota; Fungi; Ascomycota; Leotiomycetes; Helotiales.
AUAUCAAUAAGCGGAGGAAAGGAAACCAACAGGGAUUCCUCAGUAACGGUGAGUGAAGCGGUAACAGCUCAAAUUUGAAAUCUGGCUCACGCCCGAGUUGUAAUUUGUAGAAGAUGCUUUGGGUGUAGCUCCGGUCUAAGUCCCUUGGAACAGGACGUCAUAGAGGGUGAGAAUCCCGUAUGUGACUGGUAGCUUUCGCCCGUGUAAAGCUCUUUCGACGAGUCGAGUUGUUUGGGAAUGCAGCUCUAAAUUGGUGGUAAAUUCCAUCUAAAGCUAAAUACCGGCCAGAGACCGAUAGCGCACAAGUA